This 64-nucleotide transfer RNA is filed under the name human gut metagenome. It matches the Rfam family "tRNA", at positions 6 to 65 of the family's 71-position model. From Rfam's summary of the family: Transfer RNA (tRNA) molecules are approximately 80 nucleotides in length. The record is from RNAcentral. RNAcentral also lists the same sequence under 2 other names.
UCUGUAGCUCAGUCGGUAGAGCAUGGGACUGAAAAUCCCAGUGUCGGCGGUUCGAUUCCACCCG